GGAUGUGAGGGCGAUCUGGCUGCGACAUCUGUCACCCCAUUGAUCGCCAGGGUUGAUUCGGCUGAUCUGGCUGGCUACGCGGGUGUCCCCUUCCUCCCUCACCGCUCCAUGUGCGUCCCUCCCGAAGCUGCGCGCUCGGUCGAAGAGGACGACCAUCCCCGACAGAGGAGGACCGGUCUUGGGUCAAGGGUAUACGAGUAGCUGCGCUCCCCUGCUAGAACCUCCAAACAAGCUCUCAAAAGUGUAGCAGGAGCUGGACACCUGUUCCUCACAUCUGCAGUGCUAGCUACUCAGGAGGCUGAGAUCU
Unclassified non-coding RNA from Dipodomys ordii (Ord's kangaroo rat), 307 nucleotides. Its record names the gene 7SK. It matches the Rfam family "7SK RNA". Rfam says of the family: 7SK was discovered as an abundant small nuclear RNA in the mid-70s but a possible function has only recently been suggested. Two independent studies have found that 7SK RNA binds the CDK9/cyclin T complex (known as elongation factor P-TEFb). The record is from Ensembl. Lineage: Eukaryota; Metazoa; Chordata; Mammalia; Rodentia; Heteromyidae.